This 727-nucleotide ribosomal RNA is filed under the name uncultured Planctomycetota bacterium. RNAcentral describes it as "bacterial SSU rRNA". It matches the Rfam family "Bacterial small subunit ribosomal RNA", at positions 58 to 785 of the family's 1533-position model. The record is from RNAcentral. Lineage: Bacteria; Pseudomonadati; Planctomycetota.
CAAGUCGAACGAAUCCCAUCUGGGCAACUGGGGUGGGGGAAGUGGCGAAAGGGGCAGUAAAGCGUGGGUAACCUACCCCGGGGAUCGGGAUAGCCGUCCUAACNGACGGGUAAUACCGGGCGAUCUGGCGAGGAGGCAUCUUCUUGCCAGGAGAUGAGUUUCGCCUCGGGAGGGGCUCACGUAGUAUUAGCUUGUUGGCGGGGUAACGGCCCACCAAGGCCAAGAUGCUUAGCGGGUGUGAGAGCACGACCCGCGCCACUGGCACUGAGACACUGGCCAGACUCCUACGGGAGGCUGCAGUCGAGGAUCUUCGGCAAUGGGCGCAAGCCUGACCGAGCGACGCCGCGUGUGCGAUGAAGGCCUUCGGGUUGUAAAGCACUGUCGAGGGGGAGAAAAGCCGGGAAACCGGUCUGAUCUAUCCCUGGAGGAAGCACGGGCUAAGUUCGUGCCAGCAGCCGCGGUAAGACGAACCGUGCGAACGUUGUUCGGAUUCACUGGGCUUAAAGGGCGCGUAGGCGGACCAUCAAGUCAGGGGUGAAAUCUUUCAGCUUAACUGGAAACGUGCCUCUGAUACUGGUGGUCUCGAGGGAGGCAGGGGCAUGCGGAACUUCCGGUGGAGCGGUGAAAUGCGUUAGAUAUCGGAAGGAACGCCGGUGGCGAAAGCGGCGUGCUGGACCUCUUCUGACGCUGAGGCGCGAAAGCUAGGGGAGCGAACCGGAUUAGAUAC